RNAcentral lists this ribosomal RNA (378 nucleotides) under uncultured organism. RNAcentral describes it as "partial 16S ribosomal RNA". It matches the Rfam family "Bacterial small subunit ribosomal RNA", at positions 525 to 896 of the family's 1533-position model. The record is from RNAcentral.
GGGGGGGGGGCAAGCGUUGUUCGGAAUUACUGGGCGUAAAGGGCGCGCAGGCGGCCCGGCCAGUCCUUUGUGAAAUCCCACAGCUCAACUGUGGAACUGCAGGGGAUACUGCCAGGCUUGAGUCCGGGCGAGGGGAGUGGAAUUCCCAGUGUAGCGGUGAAAUGCGUAGAUAUUGGGAGGAACACCGGUGGCGAAGGCGGCUCCCUGGACCGGUACUGACGCUGAGGCGCGAAAGCUAGGGGAGCAAACGGGAUUAGAUACCCCGGGUAGUCCUAGCUGUAAACGUUGAGCACUUGGUGUGGCGGGUAUCGACCCCCCUGCUGUGCCGAAGCUAACGCAUUAAGUGCUCCGCCUGGGGGUAGUACGGUCGCAAGGCUG